RNAcentral lists this ribosomal RNA (490 nucleotides) under uncultured bacterium. RNAcentral's name for it is "partial 16S ribosomal RNA". It matches the Rfam family "Bacterial small subunit ribosomal RNA", at positions 30 to 507 of the family's 1533-position model. The record is from RNAcentral.
AUUGAACGCUGGCGGCAGUCCUAACACAUGCAAGUCGAACGGUAACAGGAAGACGCUUGCUUCUUUGCUGACGAGUGGCGGACGGGUGAGUAAUGUCUGGGAAACUGCCUGAUGGAGGGGGAUAACUACUGGAAACGGUAGCUAAUACCGCAUAACGUCGCAAGACCAAAGAGGGGGACCUUCGGGCCUCUUGCCAUCGGAUGUGCCCAGAUGGGAUUAGCUAGUAGGUGGGGUAACGGCUCACCUAGGCGACGAUCCCUAGCUGGUCUGAGAGGAUGAGCAGCCACACUGGAACUGAGACAAGGUCCAGACUCCUACGGGAGGCAGCAGUGGGGAAUAUUGCACAAUGGGCGCAAGCCUGAUGCAGCCAUGCCGCGUGUAUGAAGAAGGACUUCGGGUUGUAAAGUACUUUCAGCGGGGAGGAAGGGAGUAAAGUUAAUACCUUUGCUCAUUGACGUUACCCGCAGAAGAAGCACCGGCUAACUCCGUG